This 689-nucleotide long non-coding RNA is filed under the name Mus caroli (Ryukyu mouse). RNAcentral's name for it is "lncRNA (MGP_CAROLIEiJ_G0005881.1)". The record is from RNAcentral. Lineage: Eukaryota; Metazoa; Chordata; Mammalia; Rodentia; Muridae.
CCAUCCCUCUGUGUAUUUCCUUCUCCUCUUAGACACACUGGAAAAUCAUGAGGCCCAAGACAAGCCAGAGGUAAUUCCCACUCUUGGUCACUGAGAUUUAUCCGAAGCAUGCAUGUGACCCAUCCAGGCCAAUUAUAGUGUGGGGCUUUCCUACCUGAUCUGGGGGAAACAAACCCUUCCUUGGCUCAUCACAGCCAGUGAAAAUGGGAACCUACGCUGUGUUUAUUCGACCAUCCACACACACUCCAGCCUACAGACUUGAAGAAGGCCCACACAGCAUCAGGAGGCAAACCCAGAGCACUGACAAUUGAUCCCACUGAUUGCCAUAGCAAUAAAACAGUGACCACGACAAGGAAUAUCAAAGAAAAAAUCUGAAUAGAGAAUAUGUAGGGGUACCCAAAGGUGCAGUGGCCCCAGCGUUGGACAUGUGGAGCUAGCUGCCUGUGAACAAUGGAACACCUACUAAGACACUUGGAGAAGAAGGCUCCCAGAAGAAGUGGAAGCAAAGACAGGACGCUGCAAAAAGGUUCUGCUUUCAUCUGCAGAGAUGUAGACGGAAGACGGGAAGUUGGAAAUGACUUUUGUAAAGCCAUACAAAACCAGUCUUAUUUCUGGACCAGUUUCUAACUGACAUGUUUGCAACUCACCAUAUAUCUUACUUCUCCAUGAAGUAAAGUUAAUACAGUCUU